This is a long non-coding RNA of Brienomyrus brachyistius, 258 nucleotides long. RefSeq lists it as uncharacterized. The transcript has 4 exons. Lineage: Eukaryota; Metazoa; Chordata; Actinopteri; Osteoglossiformes; Mormyridae. The record is from RefSeq and is a predicted model, not a curated record.
GUGAGGGAGACGGGGACACCGAGGCCGAUGGAGGUGAGGGAGACGGGGACACCGAGGCCGCUGGAGGUGAGGGAGACGGGGACACCGAGGCCGAUGGAGGUGAGGGAGACGGGGACACCGAGGCCGCUGGAGGUGAGGGAGACGGGGACACCGAGGCCGAUGGAGGAGAGGGAGACGGGGACACCGAGGCCGCGGGAGGUGAGGGAGACGGGGACACCGAGGCCGCUGGAGGUGAGGGAGACGGGGACACCGAGGCCG